CGCAUCUGUGCAUGCAGCAUAUCAAUAAGCGGAGGAAAAGAAACUAACAAGGAUUCCCCUAGUAACGGCGAGUGAAGCGGGAAGAGCUCAAAUUUGAAAUCUUAAAGGGUUUCCCUUUACGAAUUGUAGUUUAAAGAAGUGUUUUCUGUUGAGGUUUUGGUAAAAGUUCUUUGGAAUAGGACAUCAUAGAGGGUGAGAAUCCCGUAUUUGACCUUUACUUUCAACUUUGUGAUACACUUUCGAAGAGUCGGAUUGUUUGGGAAUGCAGUCCAAAAUGGGUGGUAAAUUUCAUCUAAAGCUAAAUAUUGGCGAGAGACCGAUAGCGAACAAGUACCGUGAGGGAAAGAUGAAAAGAACUUUGAAAAGAGAGUUAAACAGUACGUGAAAUUGUCAAAAGGGAAGCGUUUGACACCAGUGUUGUUUUUCUGAAAAUCAAUUAAAGAACCGUUUAUGCUAAGUUGUUUAGACUUUAUCAGCUAACUGUUUAGUUUUGAGCUUUUCUUUAAUGCACUUUUCAGUUAACAAGUCAACAUCAAUUUCUUUUGCUGUAAAAAAGCUUGAGGAAGGUGGCUUGAGAUUCGUCUUAAGUGUUUAUAGCCUCUUGCCUACGCAGUCGGAGAGAUUGAGGUCUGCAGCGUAGAUCCUUCGGGGCUAAAUGCAUUUGUGCUAAGUUAUAACAUUUUAUAGACAACUUGUUGACUAUGAUUUGUCUUGUAGCUUACUCGCUUAUGUUAUUUUACCUACGCUUAGGAUGUUGACAGCAGUAUAGACUGU
This 774-nucleotide ribosomal RNA is filed under the name uncultured Neocallimastigales. Its description in RNAcentral is "partial large subunit ribosomal RNA". It matches the Rfam family "Eukaryotic large subunit ribosomal RNA", at positions 26 to 637 of the family's 3401-position model. The record is from RNAcentral. Lineage: Eukaryota; Fungi; Neocallimastigomycota; Neocallimastigomycetes; Neocallimastigales.